RNAcentral lists this ribosomal RNA (404 nucleotides) under uncultured bacterium. RNAcentral describes it as "bacterial SSU rRNA". It matches the Rfam family "Bacterial small subunit ribosomal RNA", at positions 355 to 776 of the family's 1533-position model. The record is from RNAcentral.
UGGGGAAUAUUGCACAAUGGGGGAAACCCUGAUGCAGCGACGCCGCGUGAGUGAAGAAGUAUUUCGGUAUGUAAAGCUCUAUCAGCAGGGAAGAUGAUGACGGUACCUGACUAAGAAGCCCCGGCUAACUACGUGCCAGCAGCCGCGGUAAUACGUAGGGGGCAAGCGUUAUCCGGAUUUACUGGGUGUAAAGGGAGCGCAGGCGGUUCGGCAAGUCUGAUGUGAAAACCCGGGGCCCAACCCCGGGACUGCAUUGGAAACUGUCGGACUGGAGUGUGGGAGAGGCAGGCGGAAUUCCUAGUGUAGCGGUGAAAUGCGUAGAUAUUAGGAGGAACACCAGUGGCGAAGGCGGCCUGCUGGACCAAGACUGACGCUGAGGCUCGAAAGCGUGGGGAGCAAACAGG